RNA transcript from Aquila chrysaetos chrysaetos, 2422 nucleotides. RefSeq lists it as uncharacterized. NCBI's taxonomy places the organism in Eukaryota, Metazoa, Chordata, Aves, Accipitriformes, Accipitridae. The transcript has 5 exons. The record is from RefSeq and is a predicted model, not a curated record.
CACAACUUGCGUGGGCUGCUUUGUUGCCGCCGCAGAUUCGCGUUACCGGGACACGACACCUCGCACCUCCCCACACCCCCGGGUUUCGGGUCGUCCCCGCGCAUCUUCCUUCCCUCUCCUACCUCCUCUUCCUCUCCCCUCCCGCCCCCAGCGUGGCGAAAGUGCGGCGGCGAAUUCAACGCUGCUCCUGCCGCCGGCCCCUCGCGAUUCGCUUCCGCAGAUUCGCCACCGCCGCCCGCGCUGCUCCCGGAGCCGGAACGGGCCUGAACCCAGCGGCGGGGCCUUAUCCCCUCCCCGUUCCCCCCACCCCUUCCUCUUCCACCUCCAUUUCCCUUCCCCGCUUCUCCUUCCUCCCUUCCCCGCCGCCGUGGCGAAAGUGCGGCGGCGGAGGCGCAGGCCGCUGCGGUGCUGGCGGGCGGCUCCGGUCCGCGGUGGCUGUUCCCGUUCUCCCCCUCCCUCCCCGCCGCGUAGCGGCCCCUCAGCUCCGGGCGAUGCCCCUGGGGCUGCGGUGAGGAGGGAGAACUCCGCCAUGGAGGUCCCGGGACAGGGUAGUGGACCGGUGACCGUCCCCCCCGAACCCGGUAACGAAACCCCGCUGCCCGUUGAGGUUUCCCCCUCUGGGGCGGCUCAGGGAAACGAAGACGGGCGGUUGCGGCCCGGUGCUAAGCGGGUAACGUUUCCCUCCGACGAGGAUAUCGUCUCUGGGGCAGUGGAGCCCAAGGACCCCUGGAGACACGCUGCGUUAAUACGAAAUUUCUGCCGCUCUGAUCCUGCUCUGGAUGAAGACGUGACGUUUGCCUGGCAAAGCAAACCCGGGGCUCGUCCCCCAAGCCCUUCUCUGCUGCUCCAGAAAACCAAAUGUGGUUCAGCGCUCUCAAACGAGCCGCCCUCCCCAGAGGGAGCCCGGGAGGGACAGAUUCCUCAGCCAAGCUUGCCUUUCCCGAGGCUCCGGGCACGCUGGCUCGGAGCUAGAGGCUUUCCCCGAAGGUGUUGUGCCCUUUGGGUGUUGGGGACCUUUUCUUUCAAACUAUUUAACCUCAAACUUCAGCCCCUGAAGGCGCCCGGCGUGAAGGGCCUGAAAGCAAAUUUUCCCUCUCUAAUUAGAGGAAUCCCAUACACUGCUGAUCAUCGCGGCUCUGUGGAAGCUAGCGUCAUUCAGGGCAGAGCUGGCAUUCAGGACCUGCCUUUCUCUUGACUUCAGGAACGCAUUGCCUGUGACACCACUUUUAUUCUUCCUCUCACGUGUGGAUAAUAACUGUUUUUAUUUGGGGCUUUAUUUAUCUCUCAUUCAUCAUUCAUUGGCUAAAAUUACUCCGGUGGACGUGCCUCUGCUUGUUUAACUUCCUUCUGGCUACUUGAAUCCGAGGUCUCCUUCCCAGCCGGUACCAGCAGGGCUGGUUUUGCCAGGCAGCAUGGGGCUCGAUGACAACGCUCGUGUGUCAGUUUGGAUCCUCCUCUCCGGUGCGCUUGCCACCCCGAAGUGCUCGAGGGCUUGAAAGAGGAAGCCCAGAACGUGACUGUUGAUGAAAUCAUGACUGCCUACAAGCAAGCCUGCCAGAAGCUGAACUGCAAGCAAAUACCCAAACUACUGAAACAGAUACAGGAAUUUAAAGAUCUGGCUCCCAGGAUAGACUGCUUAGAUCUGAAAGAGUCUCUUCUCCCCCUCUGCGCUGGGGGAUGCCUUCCAAAACCAACCUGGGAGACCGGCAACAAGAGCAGCCACGUAGCAGGGAUGCUUCCGCAACGCAGCCGGGGAAAAGAUGGAAUGGUCAAUGUUGGCCAGAGCGUUCUUCCUUCAUGGAGCGAUGGUGUUGGUGGUGUUCCUCUCAACCCUGGGUCGUCCUGGCAGCAUCUGCCUCUUGCUGAGGUCCUGCCCAGGCUGUCCCGGUUUCCCAACGAAACUCAUCGGGUGCGGUGCGUGAGUGGAUGGAGUUUGCUCCAGCAAGAUCCAGCUUGGCUCGGGGGACAGAAGCCAUCUGUAGGGGCUGCAGCCUUAGGGUUUAAUCUGUAGCACUUGGUGCCUGUUGUCACUUAUUCAGUGUUGUGGGGGGGAAAUCUGAAGGCUGGGGAACCAUGAGGAAAUAACCUCGCUGCACGGGGAGCUGGGGUGUCCGUGUCCUGAACUGAUUUGCCUGGAAGAGGACAGACGUGCUGCUGGAGGAGUAACAACGCAAGCUUGCCCAAAUACCCCCCCAAAAUAAAUCUUUUACAGGCCCCAUCGCCAUCAUUUGGACUCAGCUUUGCCAAACAGGUUUUUUUUCUUGACUUCUUACAAAUCCUGCAGUCGUCAGCUGGCUGGGCAACCAGAGCCCGUGUCCCCCCUUCCCCUAGAAAUGGGAGUUUCUCAGAAGACCCCAAGCGAUGCAGAAGCCUGGCUGCCAGUUGCUUUAUGCCGUUAUAUGUGAUAUAACACCGGCACAGC